This 498-nucleotide ribosomal RNA is filed under the name uncultured bacterium. Its description in RNAcentral is "partial 16S ribosomal RNA". It matches the Rfam family "Bacterial small subunit ribosomal RNA", at positions 30 to 523 of the family's 1533-position model. The record is from RNAcentral.
AUUGAACGCUGGCGGCAUGCCUUACACAUGCAAGUCGAACGGUAACAGGUCUUCGGAUGCUGACGAGUGGCGAACGGGUGAGUAAUACAUCGGAACGUGCCUAGUAGUGGGGGAUAACUACUCGAAAGAGUGGCUAAUACCGCAUGAGAUCUACGGAUGAAAGCAGGGGAUCGCAAGACCUUGUGCUACUAGAGCGGCCGAUGGAAGAUUAGGUAGUUGGUGGGAUAAAAGCUUACCAAGCCGACGAUCUGUAGCUGGUCUGAGAGGACGAUCAGCCACACUGGGCCUGAGACACGGCCCAGACUCCUACGGGAGGCAGCAGUGGGGAAUUUUGGACAAUGGGCGAAAGCCUGAUCCAGCAAUGCCGCGUGCAAGAUGAAGGCCUUCGGGUUGUAAACUGCUUUUGUACGGAACGAAAAGCCCCGGGUUAAUACCCUGGGGUCAUGACGGUACCGUAAGAAUAAGCACCGGCUAACUACGUGCCAGCCGCCGCCGUAA